Molecule: long non-coding RNA, 8922 nt
Filed under: Lynx pardinus (Iberian lynx)
Lineage: Eukaryota; Metazoa; Chordata; Mammalia; Carnivora; Felidae
Source: RNAcentral
CAGAUUGGAUCUUUGUUUGAACCAGAAAUUCAGCCAGAGCACAUUCAAAAUCCACCAAUCACGAGCAACUCUUUUCUUGGCGACGUAAAACAGGGGAGGCUCCGAGGCUGCAAACAGGACAUCCUCCCAAGCUGAGGCUCUUAACGGCACGAUCGAUCGUGGCCUCCCCUCACCACCCCGCCCCCUGCCCCACUCAUCGGGGUGACCGCAAAAAUGCCCCUCGGUUCAGGAAUCUGAACUCGGAGGAAACCACGACCCUUCCUCAGUAAAGAUGAAAAGGGACAACCGUUUUCCAGAAGGUGAUGAGAAACUAGCGGUGUGAAUCCCACACCUCGUCCUGGAUCCAAAGGUAUGUGUGCAAGUCAACUCGGGCCUCUGUGGCCUCCAAGGGCGCUGACUGGCCCAGCCAUGGAGGUUUCCAAACAGCAGGAAAACAUGUUCAGCUGUGCAACGAUUUGCCACGCAAUCAUCUGCCGAGGCAAGCCCAGCAGUCCACCCCAGUUGUGUUUGUUCAGGACAAAUAUUUACCUGUUUUACAUUUAUGGAGUAAUCCUAAUGCCUUCGCAGUCUGGAGGGUAUUUUUACAGAGCUGAAUGAGUUGAGUCUCUAUUCUGGAGCCAUAGGGUCACGUAGUUGAAAAAGCCCUGAAAAUAUUAUGUUAAUCCCGCUUAACGGGGAGAGGGGGGUCUCCUUCGGGGAGGGGAUUCAAGGUGUCGGAAACUAGACAGAGACUGCCUCCGAAUUGUGUACUUGAAGAUGGGUUGGGUUUUUUAAUUUUUAAUGUUUAUUCAUUUUAGAGAGAGACAGACAGACAGACAGAGUGAGUGAACAAGGGAGGGACGGAGAGAGAGGGAGACACCGAAUCCGAAGCAGGCUCCGGGCCCCGAGCCGUCAGCGCAGAGCCCGAUGCGGGGCUCGAACUCACGAACCGCGAGAUCGUGACCCGAGCCGAAGUCGGACGCUUAACCGACUGGGCCACCCAGGCGCCCCGUAAGACGGGUUGGUCUUAUGUGUAUUUUCCCUCAGUUAAGAAACAAAGACGAUUCUGAGGUCCAGUCUUCUAUUCUGAAGGUGUGCCAACAAUGGCUGGGUGUAGGGAGCGGAUGUACAGCAGAGGCUUCUCAGAAGCCCUCCCUAGGAUGUGGGCAGGUGUCCAACACCCUCCACCCACCCACCACCCUGUGACCUAACCCUUUUCGCUUCUCUCCACAGCCUGGCAACGUCCGAAGACCGUAAUCUUGGACUGAAUGUGCACUCACCCAGCAGAGACAGCAAAUUAUAUCCUCAGGGAAUCUUCCCUCAGGAGGGCCACGGUUUUGUGGGCAUAUUCUUUCCACGGUGAAGAAAUAAAAGUGAAUCUAGGGGUAAACCACUUUGCUUGGUGCACGUUCACAAAGCCUGAUCUCUGCCGCGAAGAUGGGCACGUAAGGCUUGUUAAGUGAAUGUUAAUAACCAGGUGCUCGGACCUUCUUAGAGGGCUGGUUAUCUCCCGUUUCAGUCAUUAGUGGCCCGUGGGAAUAGUGGCUCCAUAAAACCUUGUGUAUUUUCUUUCGAGAUUUCUCUGUCAGGCUUAUGGCGAGGCAUACCCAGAAAUGAUGCACGUGGGGGACUUUGACAUCACACACAUCCGUCCCGGGAGCCGGGAGUGGCCUCGCCCUUCAGAGAGCAGUGUCACCUCCGCAGGAUGCCGGCUGCUUAUGCGGAGGCUGUGGCACGAGGAGAUGGCAGGAGACUCACCGUCGACGUCGGGACAAGCAGAGUCUAGAACCGCUCCCACUCCGUGCCCAGUGUUGCUCUACUCUGGGCAGCGUGAGACAGCGACACCACUUUGAGCCAUUUGGAUCGGGCGGCCUGUGGCUUGCGGCCAAAUACGUCCUCAGGGAGACAAGGCUCACGUGCCCAGGCGACCCAGAACCCAGACUCAGGAGACCUGAGUUGAUUCCAGUCCCAGCUCCCCUGGAAAUUUAACCCGAUGUCACUCUCUUCACCUGCACAGCGUGGAGGUGGGUAAGACACAUACCAAGGCCAUUUCCAACCAUAAAGUCCCGCUGGGGUAUCUCUGUCCACAUUCACUGGCACGGAGCCUGAGGUCCGUGGUGGCUUUGGUUUUGCCUUCUCUCCCUCUCUCCUCCUUUGGAAAACUGGCCACACCGUGCCGGCUGAGUCUCUCUUCUUGUUGGAAGCCGGGGCGGUCUUUGUUUCCGUGAGGCAUGGACAUCUCCACGUGGGAAGUCGAAGCCACAGGCCAGGUAGCAUAUGUGCACAACUACAUUGGGUGGAAAGUGACAGCUCAUCGGGAUAAGACAAAAUAGGGUCUGCCCUGAUCUUACAACCCCCGCCUUAGGUCUCUCCCUCAAGCUGUAUGUUAUAGACGGAGCAGACCCGGGUUGUGGCCCGAAUCACUCGUGUCUCAACAUUCCCUCGGUUACAAAGUUUUGUUUGCGUGCGACUUUUAGUGUUGAUGGGGGGCUGGGGGCUGGCGGUGCGCAGGGCCCCGUGUGUGUGUGUGUGUGUGUGUGUGUGUGUGUGGACUCUCGUACAUCCCCCAGGAUGUCCCACGUAGGAGCUCAUUCUAGACGACCAGAGAAACAGAUGUCCCAGGGCUGGCGUGGAGUGUCCCUGGACGGGUCACUUAUCCUCUCCGAUCUCGGCUUCCUCAUCUCUACACUGACUCACGGGGGCCCUUGAGUUCAGGUACCACAGAGUCAGCCAGCAUAUCCUCUGACUUUGCAACAGAGUGAGAGCAGAUUUGCCGUGAAAUGCCGUUGCAAACGCACUCGCAGAGAAAAGACGGCAGCACCCGGCAAAGAGCGGGGCGAAAAGAACUAAUUGCACGGUUACCGCAAAGACAAUCCAACGCCCUUAUUUUGCAGCGAGAAAAUGGAUCCGCUUUGCGGCGCAGUUAACUCUAUGGGAAACAACGAUAAUUGCCCUGGAACCGAACACCAGCCUCCCCUUGCGCUCACUGAUAACGAUGCAAAUUCUCCCGCUUGCCUAUAAUGUGGCUCAGAACAAAAAUGCCUUUUCUGGUCCGUGCUGGGAAUAAUUCCUGAAACUCAGUAAGUCUUAACACGCCCCCAGCUCCUCUCGCCAGGGGGGUAGAAUUCAUCCCACGGAGAGUCAGUGACGACAGCCCCCCGGGGUGGGGGUCCAGCCAGCAGGUCUCAUCGGGGGCUGGGGCUUCUAACUUAGCUGUGGAACCCUGAAAUGUUUCCAAGUUGAAUUAUAUAGAAAUCGAGGCCCCUCAGGACUGUUGUUCUCCUAGUCUGGUACAGAAGCAAAGGCCGCUUCCAGGGUAGAGGGGUCUCCUUUGGGGGUGAAUCAACGUCCUCAAAACACGCAGAAAACCCCGUUUGUCUGAACAAGGACCACAGAGUCUGGUGAAAAAAGAUGCCUGCCCACAAGCCCCCCUCCCCAAACUGGCCUUCGUUGCCUUGAAGAGAUAACCAAGUAAGAUAAGAGCUAAAGGGGAAAAGAAGUCUUGGUCUCGUGUUUCGGGUAUUCAGAGACAAAGUGCAAUUGUCAGAGGCAUGAGAAACCGGCCGUGGGUGCGGGGAGUCACAAGCCAAACGGGGGUGGGGACAAUUUAUCUUGUCAGGAAGUCGGCAUGUGAAGCAGGAGCAGGGCAAGGGGCGGACGGGGUCCCUCUGGACCCUCAUACGUAGCAGACCCCGGGAUUCUUUCAUUUCCAACCAGGCUGACUUCGGUCCUGCCAUUCUGCAGAAAGCCGGCCAGAUCAGGUCAGUUUCUUUCCCUGGCUCGCACAAGGAAGCUGUGAGGUAAGAGUCCUCUCUCUGAGCCCUUCUCUGCCUCGUCCAGAGCUGGCACGGCCAGAACCGGCAAGGUCUAGGGCAUGGGCACGUCUCCGGGGCUGGCCUCAGCUCCCGAGCCCCGUGGGCUCACUCUCCAGCUAGCAGGCCAACUGUUCGGGGCUGGGGAGUAGUGGGUAGGUCUGGGCUUCCAGAGACCGACUUCUCGAGAGGCGGGACAACCUCGCCGAGCGACUGAUCCUAUCUGGCUGUGAAGGUCAUCAGAAACAGGGACGGGCUCCGCGCUUUGACCUGCAGGUUGGGCCCGUGGUGUCCUUUGGGGAGGCAGGAAGAACGUAGCCAACGGCACGCAGGAGGCAGAGACCUGCCUUCUCUCUUAACCAUGUGGCCUUAGUCAACUUCUGAUAGGGCAAAGAUAGGAUAAAUUUGGCAGAGAGGGAAAGGUUAGGACCUGAGGUCCCCGGGUGGGGAAAAACACACAUUUUGGAACAAUGCUGGGAGUGUCUGACCACAGCAAGCCCCCUUAGGCCUUGCGGUUCCUCUUGAGAAUGUAGCAGGCACCUACCCACCCCCCCUCGGGUUUCCCUCAGGAAUCCGACCAUCAAAAUACCUGACUAAAAUAGGUGAACCAUAAAACUCACGUUAUAGGAGGGACAGUAUGACCACCGGCCGGUUUCUCACACAAUGGAGCCGAGCCAAUCAGGAGUGGAUGACCCAGCACCGAGAGCUAUCUAGCCAAGAAGGUUGGGCCUGAGAAGGAACGAGGUGAAGGCAAGCGGGGGUGACCAGAACCCUAGAAAACAAAGACCCUUGCCUACAGUCGGGAGCGUUCACCUUUGAACACCCCCUCUCUGCAAAGAGAGAGCUUUCCCACUAUUCUUACUUUCGUAUAUUCUGAUUAACCUCUGUCUGCUGCUCAUUUAAUUCUGUCCUCUUCUUCACUCUUCGACACGGAGAGACAACGAACCCAGGGUAUCGAGGUAAAAAAAAAAAAAAAUCCUUCAACAAACUCCUACCCUCUCUUCGCUCCCUCAGUUUCCUCUUCUGUUCGUUGAGGAUAAUCCCAGUACUUGCUUCAUGGGGUAGUUCCAAGGAUCGGGUCUGGUAAGUCGACAGCAGGAUCGGCGCGGUUGAGCAAAACGCUCCUAAGUGGCUGGAAAGAACAAAGCACCGAUGCCACGGGCGCGAAUUCUCUUAUUCCUGGAACAGGGGAACCCUCUGGGGUGCUGGGCGUGGCGGGGAGGGGACAAAAAGGCCAAGGCCAAGUCCCCAACUUCUGGGAGUCUGUGUUCUCCCUUCUUUCGACAACCUCCACACCGCAAACCCCGCCUGGCACAUAGUAGGUGCACAGCAAACGCCCACUCGGUAAGCCCAGCUGGGGAGCCCAGUUCGACACGCAGAUGACUAAGCACCAAGUGCUCUGUGCAGGCGGUAAAUACACCCAAUAAAUGUACCCACUCGCUAAUAAAUCCCUGCCCACAGCGUAAUGGUGCUAUCACCUCGGGUUUCUAUUUAACUUCUUCCAUCUGCUUUCCUGUCUCCCCUUCUUCUCGCUCAUUUCCUUGAGUCAGAUUUACGUUAUUACACGUGCAGAAUAACCUGCUCACUUCUCGCUGCUCACGCUGCCGUUCCCCUGCUCAUCAGCUCCCCGGAGCACGUAGCGCUCGGACUGAUUCGAAGCUGCCCCGAGCAGACGUUUUUCUGAGCUGUGUUGUUUACUUUUCUGGAAGUCCCACGGCGCGCUCUCAUAAUGGCAAGCAUCAAGAGCCGCGAGACGGACGCGCGUUCAAUGAAACAGGUGCACUAGACAGCCCGAGCCGUUUUCCAGGUCCUGAGUUAUGGCCGAACUGGCUCCGAUCAGCAGAACGUGGGAGCUCCUGGGGCAUGGUGGCACAACUUCUGGUGGGGGACGGGUCUCGACCGCCUUGACGAAUGGCUGGAAUCAUCUUCCACCUGCCCGACUCAUUCCAACCACAAGCUGCCGAAAAUACCCUCUCUCCGCUUGCCCUUUGCUGAGUGCUGAGGCACGAACCAAAGUCCGUUCCCGAGCUGGGCACCUAAUUUUUGUUAAUAAUAUCUUCACUCUAUCAAUCAUUGUUAACUGACGGGAACAUUUGAAGAAAUUAAUUUGAGCCCGACGAGAGGAACCAUCGCAGCUCAUUAUAAGUCUCCUCCCCAAUGAACUCAGCAACACUGACUGCAUCACAAAGACGCACGGUGACUCAGGCUCGCCCGACUUGACUUCCUCCCACAGAGGACACUUUCUCCUUCAGAGAGCCGCUUCCUAUCCCGGGGCUGUGCUAAAGGCUUCUUAAUUCAGGUUUAAUGAGGGUUUCUCGAUCGUCCACCUCAUUCUCCAGAAGCACUGAGGUGGCCACAGACCCCUGAUGAUGUGGGUGCCGGUGGGGGGGGAGGGGCGUCUGAAAUUCACCUGACACCGAGGUCGGCCUUUCGCAAGGUGGCCCCUACAUUUCUGCCCAAGGGUAGGGAGCAAAGAAAGAGGCAGGUGCUGCAGAAGGAAAGGCCAUGGAGCCCCUCGUGCCCCCGGUACCCUGCCCAUAGGCCCGUUACCCCAAGCCAACCUGAACAUUGCCAACUGAAAAGCCCGCCGUUAGUCUCCCCAGGCCUGUAGCAUCUUGGGAACGAGAUGGCUGGCCGUGGGGCAGCCCCUGCGGAAGAUCACGUUAACUUCCGCUCAGCAAACCACAACCUCGGGAUGCAAGUUCAAAGAGCUGUAGAAGCAUUCUGAGCAUUGAGCAUUUUUCAACAAAAAUCGUAAGGAGCCACGAGCAAGCGAGAUUGGGUUUGUAGUGAACUGUCCUGUGGUGGUCCGUGAGAGACUCGGGUGCUUUGGGUCAAAACCUGUUUUUAAAAUACGUGCGUCUGAUGAUUUUUUUUUAAGUUUAUUUUAUUUAUUUUGAGAGAGAGCAUGCGCACGCGUGUGAGGAAGCACGGGAGGGGCAGAGAGAGAUCGGAGAGAGAGCAUCCCGAGCAGGCUCCACACUGUCAGCGCAGAGCUCGACGCGGGGCUCGAACCCACGAACCGCGAGAUCAUGACCUGAGCCGAAAUCAAGAGGCGGACGCUUAACCGACAGAGCCACCCAGGCACCCCGUAAAAUGUGUGUGUUUGAUGAUUCAUCUCAAAUACGUCUCUGUUUAGACACGGCUGCGUACGUUUUGAAUGUGUGAAGCCUGUCCCAGCAGCCUUAAUGCUUUGUUUUUUCCUUUCAGGUGAAAAUCCCAGGCGCCCUUUGUGUUAAAACGAGUUUUCGCAGCUUCCACUUGCAGAGAGAGCCGGAUUACAUAAUUGCAUUCAGGAGGCCACCACUAGAAAGUAGCUCAUGUGCACGAUCAACGCUAAAUUCUUUGGGGAGGGGGGGAAAGAAACACACCUUCUCGGACUUUCUUUGUCGUACUUUUCACAAUCGAGCGCGAUGGCCAUCAGGGGUCUUCUUCUGAGCUGUCACAUUGCUUAAAUGCGUGCAUGUCGGACAUUUCCGGAGGGGCGAGCUCGGUAGGCACCGAAAAGGGAAGGGUCUCCUCGAGGCUCUGACGGGCCCCGUCGGGUUGGGUUUUUCGGAACGAAGGCGUAGAGCACUUUAACUUCGGAGCAAGUUGCCCUCGUUCAACACGGAGUUCAAAGACACUCAGACACUUGGAGGAAGAGGAGGGGAGAAGUUCUAGGCUUUGCUCCUCACAGGCGAACACCCCACGGUGACAUUUGAAAGGCACUGUGGAGGUAAUGACUGCUCCAAAUAUACUUAGAAACGCUUCGCUCUUCAUUGUUCUUUAUGUGUCUCAUUAUUGUCAUGUCAAAAAAAAAGUUGCAAGUGACACAUGUUGUUCCUCUGAAAAAGAAAGUCCAAGUCCGUAGGUGAAACCUAAGCGUAUACGCGGGAAGCGGAGGCCCGAACGUCACCUCCGUGAGCACAGAGACCGCGUCGCCUCUGGCUGCGGGCGUUGUAACAGAAAGGCAUUUCAGUUACUGCGGGUUCGCCCAUCACUGCUCCAUUCAACCUUCUGGGUGCCUGGGAUGCUUAUCGGUACAGAUCUGAGCACAAGCCCCAAGGAGCGAGCAGAAGAAUCCUGAACAUUCCAGUCCAUUGUUUCAGUAACGCGGCCCGGCCCGCCUGCUCACUCCACUGUCCGUAUCAGAUUGCGGUUCAGUCCUCGGGAGCUGCAAGGGCCAUCGCCGCCAAGUCAGCUUCCCUUCUGGGGCUUCAACUUGAGCCACCUUUGUUCUGACCUCAGGACCUUUGCUCCUGCUCUGCUUCUGCCCCGAGGAGCACUGCCCCCUGGUGUGCGUGGCCGGGCCUUUUUGCCAUUCAGGGGUCAGCACUUCGUGGCACCCACCAACACCCGGUCUCUUAUUGUGUUUCCUUCCUGCCACUUAUUACGUACGUGACAUUUGUGUCUUCAUUUGUCUACCUGUUCCAUUUCAGAAUCCCUGACUCAAACAUCAGGCACGCAAACUUGUUCUGAGCUCAUCUCUCCGAAAACACGGUACCGGGCCAUGAGUCACCUUAGACGUGAAACCAAAAGCUCACUUUAUGUUAGUGAUUCAUUUGUGUUUUUGAAAUUAAACAAUAAUUUCCUUUAUGCUCUGUUCGCUUAUAUAACCAUGCCGGUAAAAACUCCUAUGAGUCAGGAAGGAGAGAGGUGGGGGAGGGAGGGGGGGGGUCUUAAGUUCAUCUUUUGUCAUAAGACGAUCAGUCACCGCUCGCCAGAUGUCAGCUGAGCACCUCAAACACGCGCUGUUUUAAUGGGACCUUCUUCUGGUCGUUAUUAAUUAAUUUACUCAUUUAUUCACUAAAACUUUCAGAGUAAUUUACCAUCUGAAAAGAGAGAUGACAGCAGAAAUAGGGGUGUGUGGUAGACAGUCCACAGUAAAAGGCCUGAGUGAGCCACUUUAGAAAAUACUUAAAAAUUUUUCAAUAGUGAAGGUAUAAAAAUUAAGGGGAGAUGAAAAGCAAAGUUUUGGUGGUAAAUUAGAAUAUGAUAAUACAUAUGAAAUGCAGGGACUUUAUCAUUUGCAGUAAAAUGGUUAUUAUAAUAGCACGGUAUUAUAAAAACAAGAGGGCGAGUACAAAAUCGGAGGAAAUCUAUCUUACCUCGUUGGCAUUAAGAUAGAAUAAAAUUACACUCAGAAAAC